CUGCUGCCUCCCGUAGGAGUCUGGGCCGUGUCUCAGUCCCAGUGUGGGGGGCCUUCCUCUCAGAACCCCUACGCAUCGUCGCCACGGUGGGCCGUCACCCCGCCGUCUAGCUAAUGCGCCGCAUGCCCAUCCGCCACCGGAUCGCUCCUUUGGCCACCGGAGGAUGCCCUCCGGUGGCGUCACGGGGUAUUAGGCCGCGUUUCCGCGGGUUAUCCCCCUGGUGGCGGCCAGGUUGCAUACGUGUUACUCACCCGUGCGCCGGUCGCCGGG
This 270-nucleotide ribosomal RNA is filed under the name uncultured bacterium. RNAcentral describes it as "partial 16S ribosomal RNA". The record is from RNAcentral.